GAUGAAGAACGUAGCGAAAUGUGAUAAGUAAUGUGAAUUGCAGAAUUCAGUGAAUCAUCGAAUCUUUGAACGCACAUUGCGCCCCUUGGUAUUCCGAGGGGCAUGCCCGUUCGAGCGUCAUUAUACCCCUCAAGCCUAGCUUGGUGUUGGGGCCUGCUGUUACCGGCAGCCCUUAAAAUCAGUGGCGGUGCCAUCUGGCUCUAAGCGUAGUAAUACUUCUCGCUACAGGGUCCCGGUGGAUGCUUGCCAUCAACCCCUAAUUUUCUAUGGUUGACCUCGGAUCGGGUAGGGAUACCCGCUGAACUUAAGCAUAUCAAUAAGCGGAGGA
This 328-nucleotide unclassified non-coding RNA is filed under the name soil metagenome. RNAcentral's name for it is "partial contains 5.8S ribosomal RNA, internal transcribed spacer 2, and large subunit ribosomal RNA". The stretch from base 1 to 120 matches the Rfam family "5.8S ribosomal RNA", at positions 35 to 154 of the family's 154-position model. The record is from RNAcentral.